This is a long non-coding RNA of Aquila chrysaetos chrysaetos, 684 nucleotides long. RefSeq lists it as uncharacterized. The transcript has 3 exons. The record is from RefSeq and is a predicted model, not a curated record. Lineage: Eukaryota; Metazoa; Chordata; Aves; Accipitriformes; Accipitridae.
AGCCCGACCGCAGGCAGCGAAAACAUUUCUUCGUUGAUCCCACGCUAUUAAAAGGAAUGAAACAUGCACGUUUGCCUGGCUGGGUCGUGUUAGAGUAGUUACAGUGACAGCUAAACAAUCUGCACUGCAAUCUCCGCUUCAGUCACAUUCAGGCGUCCUCUCCGCUCCUCCCCCUACCCCCAGAAAAACCCGAAUUACAAUAAUCUGUUACCCCCCAGCUCUGCCGGGGAAAUGCCCUGCCCGGACACAUUUCGCAGCAGUUUCCCUUCACCAUUCCCUCCCUCCCUCCUUCCCCCCCCCCGCCCGGAAAGCAGAAAAGCCAGCCGCUGCAUUUUGCCACCGCAACAAGGUCACACUUUGCGAUACCCGUGUAUUUCAUCCGCCUUUUAUUUGUUUUCGGAAUUCCCCGCACCCUCAGCACCUCCUCCACCAAACACUUCGCCUUCCUCCUCCCGCCGAACACCCGGCCGGCAACCCCAGCCACCCUCGGAUGCAGUUGACACACACCGAGGUACAAGCGGAGGGGAAGGGGAGGGGGCAGAGCCCGUCCUGCCGGAAUAUCUUGCCCGGGGGCGAGCUCGGAUGCUCCCGUAGAAAAAGGUUCUGGCUCACAGGAGCCCCUGCGACUUUGACAGCUGUCGCUUUGGCUGCACAGGAGACGAAUCGCCCUCCUUUUGGUGCCAG